AGUGUAGGCGGUAACGUAAGUCGGAUGUGAAAGCCCCGGGCUCAACCUGGGAAUUGCAUUCGAUACUGCGUAACUUGAAUCAGACAGAGGGAUGUGGAAUUCCGGGUGUAGCGGUGAAAUGCGUAGAUAUCCGGAGGAACACCAGUGGCGAAGGCGGCAUCCUGGGUCUAGAUUGACGCUGAGGCUCGAAAGCGUGGGGAGCAAACAGGAUUAGAUACCCUGGUAGUCC
RNAcentral lists this ribosomal RNA (229 nucleotides) under uncultured bacterium. RNAcentral's name for it is "partial 16S ribosomal RNA". It matches the Rfam family "Bacterial small subunit ribosomal RNA", at positions 568 to 796 of the family's 1533-position model. The record is from RNAcentral.